CAGCCGCCGCGGUAAUACGGGGGGAGCUAGCGUUAUCCGGAAUGAUUGGGCGUAAAGCGUCUGUAGGUGGUUUAGAAAGCCCACUGUCAAAUCCCAAGGCUCAACCUUGGUCAGGCAGUGGGGUACUUCUAAGCUUGAGUAUGGUAGAGGUAGAGGGAACCCCUAGCGUAACAGUGAAAUGUGUUGAUUUUAGGGAGAACACCAGAGGCGAAGGCGCUCUACUGGGCCAAAACUGACACUGAGAGACGAAAGCUAAGGGAGCGAAAAGGAUUAGAUACCCUUGUAGUCUUAGCUGUAAACGAUGGAAACUAAGUGCUGCAAAAAAGCAGUGCUGUAGCUAACGCGUUAAGUUUCCCGCCUGGGGAGUAUGCUCGCAAGAGUGAAACUUAAAUGAAUUGACGG
This 402-nucleotide ribosomal RNA is filed under the name bacterium enrichment culture clone LiUU-16-714. RNAcentral's name for it is "bacterial SSU rRNA". It matches the Rfam family "Bacterial small subunit ribosomal RNA", at positions 509 to 916 of the family's 1533-position model. The record is from RNAcentral.